GGGCCAGUAGCUCAGUCGGUCAGAGCAGCGGACUCAUAAUCCGUGGGUCGUGGGUUCAAGCCCCACCUGGCCCACCC
This 77-nucleotide transfer RNA is filed under the name Cellulomonas sp. WB94. Its description in RNAcentral is "tRNA-Met". It matches the Rfam family "tRNA". Rfam says of the family: Transfer RNA (tRNA) molecules are approximately 80 nucleotides in length. Their secondary structure includes four short double-helical elements and three loops (D, anti-codon, and T loops). The record is from RNAcentral. Lineage: Bacteria; Bacillati; Actinomycetota; Actinomycetes; Micrococcales; Cellulomonadaceae.